RNAcentral lists this transfer RNA (72 nucleotides) under Dipodomys ordii (Ord's kangaroo rat). It matches the Rfam family "tRNA". Rfam says of the family: Transfer RNA (tRNA) molecules are approximately 80 nucleotides in length. Their secondary structure includes four short double-helical elements and three loops (D, anti-codon, and T loops). Lineage: Eukaryota; Metazoa; Chordata; Mammalia; Rodentia; Heteromyidae. The record is from Rfam by way of RNAcentral.
GGGAAGAUGGCUCAGUGGUAGAGUGCUUGCCUUGCAUGCAUGAGGCCCUGGGUUUGAUUCCUCAGCACCCCA